Molecule: ribosomal RNA, 253 nt
Filed under: uncultured bacterium
Lineage: Bacteria
Description: partial 16S ribosomal RNA
Rfam family: Bacterial small subunit ribosomal RNA
Source: RNAcentral
UACGUAGGGGGCAAGCGUUGUCCGGAUUUAUUGGGCGUAAAGAGCGUGUAGGCGGCUAGGUAGGUCCGUUGUGAAAACUCGAGGCUCAACCUCGAGACGCCGGUGGAAACCAUCUAGCUAGAGUCCGGAAGAGGAGAGUGGAAUUCCUGGUGUAGCGGUGAAAUGCGCAGAUAUCAGGAAGAACACCCGUGGCGAAGGCGGUUCUCUGGGACGGUACUGACGCUGAGACGCGAAAGCGUGGGGAGCGAACAGG